AAGCACCACAACAGGUGGAGCCUGCGGUUUAAUCGGACUCAACGCCGGGAAACUCACCAGAUAAGACAGCUGAAUGAUAGUCGGGCUGAAGACUCUACUUGACUAGCUGAGAGGAGGUGCAUGGCCGUCGUCAGUUCGUACUGUGAAGCAUCCUGUUAAGUCAGGCAACGAGCGAGACCCACGCCAACAGUUGCCAGCUCGUCCUCCGGGAUGGUGGGGACACUGUUGGGACCGCCUCUGCUAAAGAGGAGGAAGGAAUGGGCAACGGUAGGUCAGCAUGCCCCGAAUUAUCUGGGCUACACGCGGGCUACAAUGGGUGGGACAAUGGGUAUCGACACCGAAAGGUGAAGGCAAUCUCCUAAACCCAUCCGUAGUUCGGAUUGUGGGCUGCAACUCGCCCACAUGAAGCUGGAAUCUGUAGUAAUCGUGUCUCAAAAUGGCACGGUGAAUAUGUCCCUGCUCCUU
This 465-nucleotide ribosomal RNA is filed under the name uncultured Methanomicrobiales archaeon. RNAcentral's name for it is "bacterial SSU rRNA". It matches the Rfam family "Archaeal small subunit ribosomal RNA", at positions 874 to 1338 of the family's 1478-position model. Lineage: Archaea; Methanobacteriati; Methanobacteriota; Methanomicrobia; Methanomicrobiales. The record is from RNAcentral.